GACAGAGGGUGCAAACGUUGUUCGGAAUUACUGGGCGUAAAGCGUGUGUAGGCGGCCAUAUAAGUCGGAUGUGAAAGCCCUAGGCUCAACCCAGGAAGAUGCACUCGGAUACUGUAUGGCUUGAGUACUGGAGAGGUUGGUGGAAUUCUCGGUGUAGAGGUGAAAUUCGUAGAUAUCGAGAGGAACACCGGUGGCGAAGGCGGCCAACUGGACAGAUACUGACGCUGAGACACGAAAGCGUGGGGAGCAAACAGG
Molecule: ribosomal RNA, 255 nt
Filed under: uncultured bacterium
Lineage: Bacteria
Description: partial 16S ribosomal RNA
Rfam family: Bacterial small subunit ribosomal RNA
Source: RNAcentral